GAGGACUCCAUCGCCUGGACUGG
RNAcentral lists this microRNA (23 nucleotides) under Haemonchus contortus (barber pole worm). Its description in RNAcentral is "hco-miR-5945-3p". The record is from miRBase by way of RNAcentral. Lineage: Eukaryota; Metazoa; Nematoda; Chromadorea; Rhabditida; Trichostrongylidae.